AGAGUUUGANNNGGCUCAGAAUCAACGCUGGCGGCGUGCCUAACACAUGCAAGUCGCACGAGAAAGGGUAGCAAUACCUGAGUACAGUGGCGCACGGGUGAGUAACACGUGAAUCAUCUACCUUCGAGUGGGGAAUAACUGGGAGAAAUCUCAGCUAAUACCGCAUAAUACCCACGGGUCAAAGCAGCAAUGCGCUUGAAGAGGAGUUCGCGGCAGAUUAGUUAGUUGGCGGGGUAAUGGCCCACCAAGACGAUGAUCUGUAUCCGGCCUGAGAGGGCGCACGGACACACUGGAACUGAAACACGGUCCAGACUCCUACGGGAGGCAGCAGUGGGGAAUUUUGCGCAAUGGGGGAAACCCUGACGCAGCAACGCCGCGUGGAGGAUGAAAUCCCUUGGGAUGUAAACUCCUUUCGAUCGGGACGAUUAUGACGGUACCGGAAGAAGAAGCCCCGGCUAACUUCGUGCCAGCAGCCGCGGUAAUACGAGGGGGGCAAGCGUUGUUCGGAAUUAUUGGGCGUAAAGGGCGCGUAGGCGGUUUGACAAGUCUGAUGUGAAAUCUCUGGGCUCAACCCAGAGUCUGCAUUAGAAACUGUCGGGCUUGAGUAUGGGAGAGGUGAGUGGAAUUUCCGGUGUAGCGGUGAAAUGCGUAGAUAUCGGAAGGAACACCUGUGGCGAAAGCGGCUCACUGGACCAUAACUGACGCUGAGGCGCGAAAGCUAGGGGAGCAAACAGGAUUAGAUACCCUGGUAGUCCUAGCCCUAAACGAUGAUUGCUUGGUGUGACAGGUACCCAAUCCUGUCGUGCCGAAGCUAACGCGAU
RNAcentral lists this ribosomal RNA (821 nucleotides) under uncultured bacterium. Its description in RNAcentral is "bacterial SSU rRNA". It matches the Rfam family "Bacterial small subunit ribosomal RNA", at positions 8 to 861 of the family's 1533-position model. The record is from RNAcentral.